This 253-nucleotide ribosomal RNA is filed under the name uncultured bacterium. Its description in RNAcentral is "partial 16S ribosomal RNA". It matches the Rfam family "Bacterial small subunit ribosomal RNA", at positions 524 to 776 of the family's 1533-position model. The record is from RNAcentral.
UACGAAGGGUGCAAGCGUUACUCGGAAUUACUGGGCGUAAAGCGUGCGUAGGUGGUUUGUUAAGUCUGUUGUGAAAGCCCCGGGCUCAACCUGGGAAUGGCAAUGGAUACUGGCAAGCUAGAGUACGGUAGAGGGUGGUGGAAUUUCCUGUGUAGCGGUGAAAUGCGUAGAUAUAGGAAGGAACACCAGUGGCGAAGGCGACCACCUGGACUGAUACUGACACUGAGGUGCGAAAGCGUGGGGAGCAAACAGG